AUGACACUCAUUCUACUCCCGAGUUAUCUUUAUUUGUUUCCAACUUUAAUAAUGGAGGAUCUUGAGAACAUAGAUGUGGUGAACAUGGUUGUGGUCGAGGACGUGGUAGAGGAUGUAGAGCCAACUUCUAUUGCACGCAUUGUAGGAAAGAAGGUCACACUGAACAUUGGUGCUUUGACUUACACGACUACCCAAACAAAAUCGCCAAUGUUGCCUAAAUCACUUCAAACUAUGAAUCAAAGGGUGAAGAAGAAACUACUUUCUCUGCAGAUGAUUAUAAGGAAUAUUUGCAAUUGA
Vicia faba (fava bean) is the source of this 297-nucleotide non-coding RNA. NCBI's taxonomy places the organism in Eukaryota, Viridiplantae, Streptophyta, Magnoliopsida, Fabales, Fabaceae. The record is from the annotation of a GenBank genome assembly.